AUGAACCCGACCAUCGACCGCAUGUUCACCACGAUGCUGCGGAACAAGUGCGACAAGGACACCCCUCGCGGCACCCUCAAGCAGAACCUCGACGUGCGGCCGCCGGACGUCUUCGACAACAAGUACUGCUUCGACCUGAUCACGAGGCAGGGGCUGUUCAAGUCGGACCAGGGCCUCUUCGACCACCCCACCACCAAGCGCAUGGCCACCCGCUUCUCACUCAACCAGGAUGCCUUCUUCGAGCAGUUUGCCAAGUCCAUGGCCAAGAUGGUCAACAUGGACCUGCUCACAGGCGACAAGGGCGAGAUCCGGGCCAGAUGCACCGUCCGCGGCACUCCCCCACGCAUUGAGGCUGGCACCGCCGGCGAUGGCGAGGGGAUCGCCGCCGACAUGUAA
This 396-nucleotide ribosomal RNA is filed under the name Triticum aestivum (bread wheat). RNAcentral's name for it is "partial small subunit ribosomal RNA". The record is from RNAcentral. Lineage: Eukaryota; Viridiplantae; Streptophyta; Magnoliopsida; Poales; Poaceae.